Molecule: ribosomal RNA, 253 nt
Filed under: uncultured bacterium
Lineage: Bacteria
Description: partial 16S ribosomal RNA
Rfam family: Bacterial small subunit ribosomal RNA
Source: RNAcentral
UACGGAGGGGGCGAGUGUUGUUCGGAAUUACUGGGCGUAAAGGGCGCGCAGGCGGCUGGGCAAGUCGAGUGUGAAAUCCCUUGGCUCAACUGAGGCAUGGCGCUCGAAACUACCUGGCUUGAGGGCGGGAGAGGGAAGUGGAACUCUCGGUGUAGGGGUGAAAUCUGUAGAGAUCGAGAGGAACACCGGUGGCGAAGGCGGCUUCCUGGCCCGUCCCUGACGCUGAGGCGCGAAAGCGUGGGGAGCAAACAGG